GCUGUCUCAGAUAGCCAUGCACGUCUAAGUACAAACUAAAUGAUGGUGAAACUGCAAAUGGCUCAUUACAACGGUUAUGAUGUACCCGGGAGUUCCGAUGGAUAUUUCCAGUAACACUAGAACUAAUACAUGUCCCUGCGUUUAUUAGUUUCGCACAGUCCGUCGCUGAGUCAUGGUAAACAGUUGAUCGACUCGACGUCCCGGAACAGUUUCCGCCCCAUCAGCUUCGAUGGUUGGGUAUUGGCCUACCAUUGCAACAACGGGUAACGAGGAAUUAGGGUUUGAUUUCGGAGAGGGAGCCUGAGAAACGGCUACCACAUCUACGGAUGGCAGCAGGCGCGCAAAUUACCCAAUGCAGACACUGUGAGGUAGUGACGAGAAAUAAUAAAGCGGGACUUCUGUUUCGCUAUUAUAAUGAGGAAUAACCAAAGGUCAUUCCGAUUAGCAACUGAUGGGAAAGUCUGGUGCCAGCAGCCGCGGUAAUACCAGCGUCAGUAGCA
Molecule: ribosomal RNA, 500 nt
Filed under: uncultured Myrionecta
Lineage: Eukaryota; Ciliophora; Litostomatea; Cyclotrichida; Mesodiniidae
Description: SSU rRNA
Rfam family: Eukaryotic small subunit ribosomal RNA
Source: RNAcentral